CAAGUACUCCUUCCGUUUCACAAUACAUGCCUUCCAUUUGUCAAAAUAUAGAUGUAUCUAGACAUGUUUUAGUAUAUAGGUACAUCUAUUAUUGGACAAACAGAAGUCAAGUAUUUUGAAACGGAUGAAGUACAUC
This is a non-coding RNA of Triticum aestivum (bread wheat), 136 nucleotides long. Lineage: Eukaryota; Viridiplantae; Streptophyta; Magnoliopsida; Poales; Poaceae. The record is from Rfam.